This 497-nucleotide ribosomal RNA is filed under the name uncultured bacterium. Its description in RNAcentral is "partial 16S ribosomal RNA". It matches the Rfam family "Bacterial small subunit ribosomal RNA", at positions 28 to 507 of the family's 1533-position model. The record is from RNAcentral.
GAUGAACGCUGGCGGCGUGCCUAAUACAUGCAAGUCGAGCGAACAGACGAGGAGCUUGCUCCUCUGACGUUAGCGGCGGAAGGGUGAGUAACACGUGGAUAACCUACCUAUAAGACUGGGAUAACUUCGGGAAACCGGAGCUAAUACCGGAUAAUAUAUUGAACCGCAUGGUUCAAUAGUGAAAGACGGUUUUGCUGUCACUUAUAGAUGGAUCCGCGCCGCAUUAGCUAGUUGGUAAGGUAACGGCUUACCAAGGCAACGAUGCGUAGCCGACCUGAGAGGGUGUACGGCCACACUGGAGCUGAGACACGGUCCAGACUCCUACGGGAGGCAGCAGUAGGGAAUCUUCGGAAAUGGGCGAAAGCCUGACGGAGCAACGCCGCGUGGGUGCUGAAGGUCUUCGGAUCGUAAAACUCUGUUAUUAGUGAAGAACAAAUGUGUAAGUAACUAUGCACGUCUUGACGGUACCUAAUCAGAAAGCCACGGCUAACUACGUG